AUUAACCAUAAAAGAAAAAACAGUAGAACACCAAAGACCUAGAUUUACAUGUAGGAAAUUGAUCAGGCAUUUCCCACCAAGCCACACUGAUUGGGUGCAAGUAAAUUAUUAAAAAAAAAAAAAAA
Molecule: long non-coding RNA, 125 nt
Organism: Lingula anatina
Lineage: Eukaryota; Metazoa; Brachiopoda; Lingulata; Lingulida; Lingulidae
Source: RefSeq, a predicted model, not a curated record